RNAcentral lists this microRNA precursor (85 nucleotides) under Chlorocebus sabaeus (green monkey). RNAcentral describes it as "miRNA (ENSCSAG00000020619.1)". Lineage: Eukaryota; Metazoa; Chordata; Mammalia; Primates; Cercopithecidae. The record is from RNAcentral.
AAGUAUUAGAUUGGUGCAAAAAUAGUUGAAGUUUUUGAAAGUAAUGGCAAAAACCGCGAUUACUUUUGCACCAACAUAAUACUUG